Molecule: small RNA, 98 nt
Filed under: Marmota monax (woodchuck)
Lineage: Eukaryota; Metazoa; Chordata; Mammalia; Rodentia; Sciuridae
Source: RNAcentral
AUUGCAUCUGGGCCUUUUGGCUGAGAUCAUGUGUAGUAUCUUAUUAGUUUAAUAAGUUAGAGGCCUAAAAAGUAAAAAGUCUGGGUGCCUCACUUAUC